GUUGAUUAAUGGUGAACUUUUCAUUUAAAGAUAGAAUCAAAGUGGCUGGGGUGAUAAGAGAGAAAAAUCAGAAGAUUAGUUUGAUUAAUUAUUCAUUCAUAUAUGUAUAUAUUAGACAUAACCAUAGACGAGAUCAUGAAGAUAGAGAUCGGGGAGAGAGAGAGAUAUAUAAUUUAGCUAUAAUACUUUCUUAUUUACAGAAAUUAUUUAUUGUAAAUGUUUAACAAAUGUUUAACCAUGGUCAAUAAGGAAGACACAUGUCAAUAGGAUAGAUGGGUGGACAUUUUGGUGGGCGGUAAAUUUGCUUUCCUCGUGAACUAAUAUCACCUAAGUUCUUAUUUGCAUCCUUACUUUUUUUGUUUGAGUAAAUUUCAAUUUAUUCCCCUGAACUUUAGGUCUAAAAUCAGUCCGAUACCUCAUUUUUUUUUUAAUCAGUUUCAUUCCUAAACUUUCAAAAUGACAUCAAUCUCGACCAAAAUGACUAAAAUAGCCCUUGUUAAUUUUUUACCUCAANNNNNNNNNNNNNNNNNNNNGUAAACUGAAAUUUUUUGUUAUUUUUUUUUUCUUUUUUUGUAGAAUGUACCUUACUUCUUAUAAGAGAAAUUUUAUUAACAUAUCCUUAAUUACUAGAUACACAUACUAUACUUAAUACACUACCUAUUAACUUUAUUAUUUAAACAUUUUACUAGAUACACAUAACUAAAUUUCUCACAAUACUCUCAUUUAAAAUACACAACUUAUUC
Molecule: long non-coding RNA, 743 nt
Filed under: Fragaria vesca (wild strawberry)
Lineage: Eukaryota; Viridiplantae; Streptophyta; Magnoliopsida; Rosales; Rosaceae
Description: long non-coding RNA (FVES_LNC000795)
Source: RNAcentral